ACUCAACGUUAAUUCUUUAAAAAGGGUGAGUUUAAGUUGUAAAAGCAUGCUGCUAGUACUGGAUUUAUUUCAGUAGCUCGAGCAGACCCUUGAUCAACUUGUUAGCCCUAAACUUGUUUUUAAGGAGUUU
Molecule: small RNA, 130 nt
Filed under: Flavivirga abyssicola
Lineage: Bacteria; Pseudomonadati; Bacteroidota; Flavobacteriia; Flavobacteriales; Flavobacteriaceae
Description: Flavivirga sp. MEBiC07777 6S RNA
Rfam family: 6S-Flavo RNA
Source: RNAcentral